Molecule: long non-coding RNA, 1281 nt
Organism: Pongo pygmaeus (Bornean orangutan)
Lineage: Eukaryota; Metazoa; Chordata; Mammalia; Primates; Hominidae
Exons: 3
Source: RefSeq, a predicted model, not a curated record
GUAUUGAGAAAGCAGAAGUACAAGGAAAAUAAACUUUCUUGAAAUCUUUGAUGUUUCCAGAACUAGAAUAAGAAACCAGAUUUUCUUUAUUCUUGUUCUAAGUCCCUAGCCAACAUAACUCUGUUUUGAAAGACGUUGCUUGUCACCUUAAUGGUGAUGAAGUUAUCCUAUGUGUGCUAUAUUCUGAUUGAACUUGUUUUGUUGAACUAAAGAUGGAGAGAAGAAAAUCCAAUUUAAAAAAUCUACUUUAGAUGUACACCUUCCAGGAGAAGGGGAUAAAUUCAAGGAUCCUUGAAUUAAAAUUACGCAAUAUGAAAUAAGGAAAAACAUAGGGAAAACCAUUGUCCAUAUAUAGCACACCUUUUUGCCUUUCCUGAUUCUAUGGAAGAUCUUCUGUAAUUCUGCAAAUUGUAUAUAACCUCUGCUGGUCCAGUAGAACUUCAAUUGAAUUCCCUCCUCAUCCUGUGGAACAGAUAGUUUUGCCAUUUGCAUAUUCAACUUCCUGAUCUGUAAAUAUGUCUGUUUUUCUUUUAAACCAAUGAUAACAUCUGUCUGGUUCUCUCACUGAAAUACAUUCUUUAAGACAUUUAUUUUAUAUCUCUAUAAGAAUCAUGAUUUUACCCUUUUUGUUGGAAAAUUAUUUUUUAUCAUUCCUCUAGGACAGGAGUUCUCAACUUCAGUACUGUUGGCAUUUGGGGCCCAUCAUUUUUGGUUAUGAGGGCUAGUUUUGUGCCUUAAAGGAUAUUUAACAUCUUCUCUGGCCUCUACCCAUUCGAUACCAGUAGAAACACCCAGAAAUAUCUUCAGACAUUGUUAAGAGUUCCAGCUGCAAAUAUUUAAAAUCACCCCUGACUGAGAACAACUGUCCUGGGAUAAAAUAUAUCUGCUUUAAUUUCCAAAAAAAAGAUGAAUGUCUGCUGCUCAUUAUUCAUGUUAUUAGUUUACUGUGCAGCUGAUGUGUGUGUAUGUGUAUUGGUUACAGGUUCUACAGAUAAAGCUGUCAAUAAGACCAAAACACAAAUUUGCUUUUAGGAAACUUGAAUCUAAUUCCAGUUAGUGUCAUAUCCUGUUUAUGCAGAUUCUUGUUUACCUUUAGUCCAGGGAAAUAUAUUGUUACUCUGUAAAAUGAGGCUUUUCAUUGUUUUGCCUAUUUUCUCUUUUUUUCCUCUCUUUCUCUCUUUCCUUGGCUUUUUAAAAUUUAUGAGUUAAAUAAUGAUCCUAGUUAUAGCAUAAAAGCAUGCUAUGUAUCUAGGAAAUAAGUUAAUAAUAAAUAUGUAAGUG